AUGAUAAGGCCACAGGCUCCCUGGUCAGUUCUAGAUAAAUGGCUGUCAGUGCAGGCCUACGUUGGCAAUGCUGUCGGGAGCCCUCCCAGAGAGCUUCUUCUGUAUCCUUGCUUAAGAAACUUUUAUUGCUUUGCUCACUCUCUUUUGUCCACAAGAUUCAUUCUUCGACUCCAUGAGACAAGUACCUCGCUCUCCUGCCUCACUACCAGCCUCCAAGGACAGCUUCAGAUGAAGAGCUGUUGGUCCUGCCUCCUGUACUUUCAGAAUAGAGUGCUGGAUGGCAACGAACCUUGCUGUACUCGCAAAGAAUUCUUUUAACUCCCCAGGAAGACCAAAGGAUGAACACAUUUGUUAUCCUGAAAAAGGAAAGAACAGAGUUGUCACAACUCAUUGCUGAGGGGAAUUAAGUAUGUCCUAAGUGACCUAAGUCCUGUGUGACUCCACAGCAAGAAGACUCUUGGAAACGUGUGCCUGCUGUCCCUGGACUUCACCCCAUGUGCUGUUUCCCUUUGUGGAUUUUGUUCUGUAUCCUGUUGCAAUAAAUCACAACUAUGAGGAUAACUAUACACUGUUUUGCUAGUCCUUCUAAUGAAUCACUGAAUUUGGAGGUGGUUCUGGGGACCCUCCAAUACGUAGGCCAAAGGACAGUUAGUGGAGGAAUGGAUAAAGAAAUUGUGGCACAUCCAUAAGGCAGAGUACCACUCAGCAAUAAAGAGCCAUAAACUACUGAAACAUGCAACAAAUUAGAUGGAUCUCAAUGGUAUUACACUUAGAAAAGCCAAAGUCAAGGGUUGCAUACUGUAGGAUUCUAUUACUACGACGUUCAUGAAGUGACAAAAUUAUAGUGCUGGGACAUGGAUCAGUAGUAGUAGAUCCAGGGGAAACACGUGACUAUCAAGGGGUAAUGUGAGAGAGUUUCUUUAUGGUAAUGGAACAGUUCUGCAUGCUGAUGGUCACGAUGGUUAAGUUGAAUCUAUGCUUUUGAUAAGAUUUCACAGAACUAUAUACUCCUUCCUGGCCGCCAUCCCCCCCCAAAGAGUGCCUGUAAAAAGUGGUGAAAUUCCUUUUUUUUCUUUUUAAAGAUUUUAUUUAUUUAUUCAUGAACGACACAGAGAGAGAGGCAGAGACACAGGCAGAGGGAGAAGCAGGUUCCCCCCAUCACCCUGGGAGCCUGAGGCCCCCAGGAUCACAGCCAGAGCUGAAGGCGGAUGCUUAACCACUGAGCCACCCAGGCAUCCUAAAAGUGGUAAAAUUCUAAUAAAUUCUGUAUCUUGGGACACCUGGGUGGCUCAGCGGUUGGGUGCCUGCCUUCAACCCAGGUCGUGAUCCCGGAUCUGGGAUCAAGUCCGCAUAAGGCUCCCUGCAAGGAGCCUGCUUCUCUCUCUGCCUGUGUCUCUGCUUCUCUUUCUCUCUGUGUCUCUCAUGAAUAAAUAAAUACAUCAAAAAAAUUCUGUGUCUCCAUACCUGAAUUAAUAGUGAUUUAACAAAAUCAAUUUUCUGGUUUUGAUCAACUACUCUGGUUAUAUACGAUAUGAUCAUUGUGGAAGCUGAGUAAAGAGUGCAUGGGAACUCUCUGUACGGUUUUUACAAAUUCUUGUGAGUCUGAGAUAAUUUCAAAGUAUAAACACAUUAACAGAAGAGUGAGCAUGUGUGUAUGUGCGUAUGUGUGUGUGUGCAAACUGCCCAAGACUUGCCACAGGAGACAUAUCUUAAAGAAUAAAUGGCAUACUUUCUCUUUGUGCUGCCAGAGAGCAGAAAGGACUCCCUUCUAUUUAAUACCUGCUUGUGUUUUGUCCAUUUUAAAAAUUAAUCACCAAUUAAGUGUAGCAGAAUAUGCCACCCCCAAAUAUGUCACUUUGGCAUAAGGAUUAUUUUGAGCUAAAGGCAAUUGAGAAGAUGUGGAUAUAAGAAAAGCUAUCUGCCUUCCUACUAUUUGCCUAAAACAGGAAAUCCGUUUGUAGAGGUGUCCCCAUCUCCCAUAUCUACCAAGGGACAGAAGUUAGUCAUCAUAGACAACUCUAUACCCUUAUUAGCUCAGAGGAAUCUAGAUAACAAACCUUGCUUAAACUAGCCCUUAUCUACCAUUGAUUUCUUCAUAUAUUCCCUCCCCCAACCUGCAACUCCUAUAAACUUUAAGUCCUUCUGUUUGUUUUGCCAAUUAUUAAAUUAAAUUAAAAUUAUUAUUAUUUUCCAGUAUUAUGCCAAUUAGAAUUAUUAUUAUUAUCCUUCCGUUAAGAUGCUAUAAGGCCCAAGUUCUACCUACUGUUUUGAGUUACUCAUCACUGGCUACUCCCAUUGUAUACAUGAUGCAUGUGUUAAUAAACUUCUGUUUGUUUUUCUCUUGUUAAUCAUUCCUUUGUCAGUCUAACUUACAGGGGUCCAGAAGAAGAACCUAUGAAGAAACAUGAAAAAAAUUAAAAAUUCCCUUCCUUACCCUCAUCUUUUUCUUAUUGAUUUGAAGAAGCUCUGUAUACAAUCUGAAACUCUUCAGAUUUAUGUAUUUCAUCUUCUAUCAAUGUGAUUCAGUUGGUUAAGCAUCUGCCUCCGGCUCGAGGGGUGAUCUCAGGGUCCUGGGAUCGAGCCCUGCAUUGGGCUUUCUGCUCAGCAGGGAGUCUGCUUCUCACUUGCCCUCUGUAUGCUCUCUAUCUCAACUAAAUAAAUAAAAAAUAAAAUCUUAAAAGCAAAAACAUAAACUUAACAUUCAUCACCUAAAAUAAGUAUCUCGUAACUAAUAUAUGCUCAAGAAACAUUUGAUGAAUAAAAGCAAGAGUUUAUGGGGAUGCCUGGGUGGGUUGGCGGUUGAGUGUCUGCCUUUGGCUCAGGGUGUGAUUCCACAGUCCUGGGAUUGAGUCCCACAUUGGGCUUCAUGCAUGGAGCCCGCUUCUCCCUCUGCCUAUGUCUGUGCCUCUCUCUCUGUGUCUGUCAUGAAUAAAUAAAUUAAAAUAUUUUUAAAAAAGCAAGAGUGUAUGAAUGAAAGCAAGGGCCAAAUAAAAGACAACAACUACACUUGAUCUUACUGCUUUUCAUAUAUAUUCAGUUGCCCACAUGUAUUCCCCAUUCUCCAGUCAUUAAAGCAUAAAGUAAAGGUCUGUGAAAAAAGCAAGUCUAGUUCACUUGUAAUUAACCCUUUUAAAAAAAUGAAUUACAAGGAUGCCUGGAUGGCUCAGUGGUUGAGAGCCUGCCUUCGGCUCAGGGCCUCAUCCCCGGAUCUGGGAUGGAGUCCCAUAUCGGGCUCCCUGCACGGAGCCUGCUUCUCCCUCUGCCUGUGUCUCUGCCUCUCUCUCUCUUUGUGUAUCUCAUGAAUAAAUAAAUCUUUGGGAAAAAAAAGAAUUACAGAUUUAAUGUGUGAUAAUUGGUUGGAAUAUUUUAAGGUCUUUGUGAAAAGAAUGUUGUUUUCCGAAGAGAAAAAUUUUUGUCUAAUUUAUAUUUGUCUAUUUAUAUUUGACAGAGAGUCUAGUCCUCAUUUGUGGUCAAAGCUCUUUGUCUUGUGAUUUUAUUUUCUUGCUAUUUAAGAGUUAAAUUUUGAGGCCAUGUAAAAAUGGCCUUUAUUGGGGGCACUUGGGUGGUUCAGUCAGUUAAGCAUUCAACUCUUCAUUUUAGCUCAGAUCAGUUAUCUCAGGGUUGUAAGAUUAAGUCCCACAUGGAGCCCUGAGUCAGGCUUAUUGCUGGGCAUGAAGCCUGCUUAAGAUUCUCUUCUGGGCAGCCCAGGUGGCUCAGCGGUUUAGUACCACCCUCAGCCCAGGGCCUGAUCCUAGAGACCCAGGAUCGAGUCCCAUGUCAGGCCCCGUAUGGAGCCUGCUUCUCCCUCUCCCUUUGCCUCUACCUCUCUCUGUGUGUCUCUCAUGAAUAAGUAAAUAAAAUCUUUAAAAAAAUAUAUUUUCUUCCUUGCAGGGCACCUGGGUGGCUCAGUGUUUGAGCAUCUGCCUUUAGCUCAAGUUGUGAUCCUGGGGUCCUGGAAUCAAGUCCUGCAUCAGGCUCCUUGCAGGGAGCCUGCUUCUCCCUCUGCCUAUGUCUCUGCCUCUCUCUCUAUGUCUCAUGAAUAAAUAAAUAAAAUCUUUAAAAAAAAAUUCUUGCUUGCUUUCUGCCCCUCCCCCAACUAUCUCUCUUAAAAAACAAAACAAACAAAAAGCCUU
This 4133-nucleotide long non-coding RNA is filed under the name Canis lupus familiaris (dog). RNAcentral's name for it is "lncRNA (ENSCAFG00030024286.1)". Lineage: Eukaryota; Metazoa; Chordata; Mammalia; Carnivora; Canidae. The record is from RNAcentral.